CCCCACGUUGAAUCGGACCCUUUUCCUCCAGUGGGACCUGAGAGCAGGGACAAAACGGGACGUCGCGUCUCCAUCCUGAAGACCCAGGGGGUCUUGGUCUCUGCACGCCCGUCCCGUGGAGGAAGAGUGAGAAGGGGCAGCAUGUGCAGCGCAAGCUGCCAUCCGCGUGGGAUGCGCCAGGACUAGAACUGGCUCUGCCGACUCUGGGGGGCUUCUCUGGGAGAGGCCCGGCCUUGGCUGCUGGACCCUGGUCCCUCCUCCUGGACGGCAGUCCCCAUCCCAGUUCCAGGGAUGUGCAGCAUUCCCUGCCAAGCAGGGGUGAGAACUGCUUCUGUGUGAAGCACCAGCCUCGGGUCCUCUCCUCUCUCUUGGUCCUCACAGUAGUUGUCACCAGUGUCUGGAGGAAGAUUUUCAGAAACGACAGAGGCGUGGCCCAGUGACAAGAUGAAGGCUGUGACUGAGCCGCCUGGAUGGUGACCUUCAUUCAAGGAGGCUCCCUGGAUGGUCCUGGGAGGGCUCCCCAACACCUCAGUGGCCCCUCCAAUGCUGCAAUGUGUUGCUGGGGUCCUGAACACCUGCUGGCCAACAGACCCCACACCCACCCUCCUUCAUCGUCAUCUGUGUGGGGACAGACAAGAGCCAUGGCCGCCGUGGGCCAUGGGGUGCCCUCAACCCUCUGCCUUCCUACCCAGCCUGAGACAGGAAGGCCGCCAGCUGGGAGCACCACGGGACUGAUCCAAGGAAGGCGUGGGGAGUGUGGUGACAGGAGAUGGGACGAGGGGGCAGAGCCAGCUGGAACAUGGAUGCCAGAGGCUGCCUCCAUAGUGCAUCUCCAGAAGUCACAGAGGCCCUGAGCGCCCAGAGCCACCUGAGCCACCUGGCCUGGAAGCCCCUGCGCAGGCCAGACCUGCAGGCCAUGGACCCCAGCAGGAACCGAAGCCUCACCCCAAGCCUUCGUACACAAGGAGCAGCCCAGGUGAGGGACGGCGGACGCACCUGUGGCUCUACUGGUGCAAGAAGGGAACCGUGGUCCAAGAAGCUGACAGCCCUGGCAUACACCCGUGUCACCUCAGGAUGGCCCAGACCCUGCAGGAAGCAGAUGCCCCAGCUGGAGCACAGUUCCUUUUCCCCCGGCCUCAUGGUGUCCACACACAACACUGUUCUCCAAACAACUCAGGUAGGUUCUUUUCUUACCCACCCUCCCUAG
RNAcentral lists this long non-coding RNA (1207 nucleotides) under Papio anubis (olive baboon). Its description in RNAcentral is "lncRNA (ENSPANG00000036963.1)". Lineage: Eukaryota; Metazoa; Chordata; Mammalia; Primates; Cercopithecidae. The record is from RNAcentral.